RNAcentral lists this ribosomal RNA (253 nucleotides) under uncultured bacterium. RNAcentral's name for it is "partial 16S ribosomal RNA". It matches the Rfam family "Bacterial small subunit ribosomal RNA", at positions 524 to 776 of the family's 1533-position model. The record is from RNAcentral.
UACGUAGGGGGCAAGCGUUGUCCGGAAUCAUUGGGCGUAAAGAGCGUGUAGGUGGCUCGGUAAGUCUGGUGUGAAAUCUUGAGGCUCAACCUCAAGCUGUCACUGGAUACUGUCGAGAUUGAGUCCGGAAGAGGAGAGUGGAAUUCCUGGUGUAGCGGUGGAAUGCGCAGAUAUCAGGAGGAACACCAAUGGCGAAGGCAGCUCUCUGGUACGUGACUGACACUGAGACGCGAAAGCGUGGGGAGCAAACAGG